RNAcentral lists this ribosomal RNA (468 nucleotides) under uncultured bacterium. Its description in RNAcentral is "partial 16S ribosomal RNA". It matches the Rfam family "Bacterial small subunit ribosomal RNA", at positions 28 to 507 of the family's 1533-position model. The record is from RNAcentral.
GACGAACGCUGGCGGCGUGCUUAACACAUGCAAGUCGAACGGAAAGGCCCUGCUUUUGUGGGGUGCUCGAGUGGCGAACGGGUGAGUAACACGUGAGUAACCUGCCCUUGACUUUGGGAUAACUUCAGGAAACUGGGGCUAAUACCGGAUAGGAGCUCCUGCUGCAUGGUGGGGGGUGGAAAGUUUCGGCGGUUGGGGAUGGACUCGCGGCUUAUCCGCUUGUUGGUGGGGUAGUGGCUUACCAAGGCUUUGACGGGUAGCCGGCCUGAGAGGGUGACCGGCCACAUUGGGACUGGGAUACGGCCCAGACUCCUACGGGAGGCAGCAGUGGGGAAUAUUGCACAAUGGGCGGAGGCCUGAUGCAGCAACGCCGCGUGCGGGAUGACGGCCUUCGGGUUGUAAACCGCUUUCGCCUGUGACGAGGCGUGAGUGACGGUAAUGGGUAAAGAAGCACCGGCUAACUACGUG